This is a long non-coding RNA of Helicoverpa armigera (cotton bollworm), 909 nucleotides long. RefSeq lists it as uncharacterized. The record is from RefSeq and is a predicted model, not a curated record. NCBI's taxonomy places the organism in Eukaryota, Metazoa, Arthropoda, Insecta, Lepidoptera, Noctuidae. The transcript is spliced from 3 exons.
CAAAUUAGGGCUGAUUUUUCAAGAGCCAGAUAAAACGUCAAGUAGCUAACUGAUCAAUAACUUUAUCUGAUUCUUUAACGAACCAAUAAAGAGUUUCAAUUUUUCAAAGCAUAGUUACCAGUCAGUUUACUACCUGACCUUUUUUUGUGACUAGCUUCACACUACAUCUGUGUGAGCGAGACGCGCUUAUGAACAUUUACAGAUCUAAGAAAGAGACAAACAAUUUUCAACUUAAUGACAGCGGUUGUCACAUUUUAGAGGGAAUCAUAACAUAACCUUAAACUUUGACGACUCGUCUUCGUGUUAAUAUUUAUUUUCCGUUCGAAUUUAUUGUUUGCUUUUUGUGUGUUGUGUGUAAUCAUGGAAAAUAUCGUAAAACGUGAACGUUCCACGAAUUUUAACAAAAGCGAAAUAAGAUUAUUGACUGAAUUGGUGGCAAAACACCGUACUAUAAUUGAAAAUAAGCAGACAGACGCCGUAACCAAUAAAGAAAAGGAAGCAGCGUGGAUAAAAAUCAGUUCAUUAUUUAAUGCGGCUACGGGAUUUACAGCGAGGAGUACCAAGAGCCUGAAGCUUAAAUAUGAAGGCAUAAAAAAGGAAACCAAAAAAACAUUGGCCAAACAUCGGCAAGAGCUGUACAAAACUGGUGGCGGGCCCUCUUCAGCCCCAGAGGUUACAGAUAUACAGGAGAGGGUUAUCGCGAUAUGUUCGAAUAUCAAUGGGCUGGAUGCUCGAAAUGACAGCGACAAAAUUCCAGAACCUUUAGAACUGGAAGAGACUGCUAAAGUUGACCCGCUAUCGUUGCCACUGCAAUCAUUAGAAAAUAAUUUAGUAAUUGUACCAUGUGAUGACGAUAUUCCGUGUACUUUAGAUCAAGAAGAGUUUUGCCCAUAACAGGAUUUAAAGGAG